GGUUCCGUAGUAGUGGUUAUCACGUUCGCUUCACACGCGAAAGGUCUCCGGUUCGAUCCCGACAGAACCC
Molecule: transfer RNA, 70 nt
Filed under: Trichonephila inaurata madagascariensis
Lineage: Eukaryota; Metazoa; Arthropoda; Arachnida; Araneae; Nephilidae
Description: tRNA-Val
Source: RNAcentral